Molecule: ribosomal RNA, 774 nt
Filed under: uncultured Neocallimastigales
Lineage: Eukaryota; Fungi; Neocallimastigomycota; Neocallimastigomycetes; Neocallimastigales
Description: partial large subunit ribosomal RNA
Rfam family: Eukaryotic large subunit ribosomal RNA
Source: RNAcentral
CUAUACAUGACUCUGCGCAUAUCAAUAAGCGGAGGAAAAGAAACUAACAAGGAUUCCCCUAGUAACGGCGAGUGAAGCGGGAAGAGCUCAAAUUUGAAAUCUUAAAGGGUUUCCCUUUACGAAUUGUAGUUUAAUGAAGUGUUUUCUGUUGAGGUUUUGGUAAAAGUUCUUUGGAAUAGGACAUCAUAGAGGGUGAGAAUCCCGUAUUUGACCUUUACUUUCAACUUUGUGAUACACUUUCAAAGAGUCGGAUUGUUUGGGAAUGCAGUCCAAAAUGGGUGGUAAAUUUCAUCUAAAGCUAAAUAUUGGCGAGAGACCGAUAGCGAACAAGUACCGUGAGGGAAAGAUGAAAAGAACUUUGAAAAGAGAGUUAAACAGUACGUGAAAUUGUCAAAAGGGAAGCGUUUGACACCAGUGUUGUUUUUCUGAAAAUCAAUUAAAGAACUGUUUAUGCUAAGCUGUUUAGACUUUAUCAGCUAACUGUUUAGUUUUGAGCUUUUCUUUAAUGCACUUUUCAGUUAACAAGUCAACAUCAAUUUCUUUUGCUGUAAAAAAGCUUGAGGAAGGUGGCUUGAGAUUCGUCUUAAGUGUUUAUAGCCUCUUGCCUAUGCAGUCGGAGAGAUUGAGGUCUGCAGCGUAGAUCCUUCGGGGCUAAAUGCAUUUGUGCUAAGUUAUAGCAUUUUAUAGACAACUUGUUGACUAUGAUUUGUCUUGUAGCUUACUCGCUUAUGUUAUUUUACCUACGCUUAGGAUGUUGAUCUACAGAGCGAGAGU